GACGAACGCUGGCGGCGUGCCUAAUACAUGCAAGUAGAACGCACAGUUUAUACCGUAGCUUGCUACACCAUAAACUGUGAGUUGCGAACGGGUGAGUAACGCGUAGGUAACCUGCCUGGUAGCGGGGGAUAACUAUUGGAAACGAUAGCUAAUACCGCAUAAUAUUAAUUAUUGCAUGAUAAUUGAUUGAAAGAUGCAAUUGCAUCACUACCAGAUGGACCUGCGUUGUAUUAGCUAGUAGGUGAGGUAACGGCUCACCUAGGCGACGAUACAUAGCCGACCUGAGAGGGUGAUCGGCCACACUGGGACUGAGACACGGCCCAGACUCCUACGAGAGGCAGCAGUAGGGAAUCUUCGGCAAUGGACGAAAGUCUGACCGAGCAACGCCGCGUAAGUGAAGAAGGUUUUCGGAUCGUAAAGCUCUGUUGUAAGAGAAGAACGGGUGUGAGAGUGGAAAGUUCACACUGUGACGGUAUCUUACCAGAAAGGGACGGCUAACUACGUG
This 505-nucleotide ribosomal RNA is filed under the name uncultured bacterium. RNAcentral's name for it is "partial 16S ribosomal RNA". It matches the Rfam family "Bacterial small subunit ribosomal RNA", at positions 28 to 507 of the family's 1533-position model. The record is from RNAcentral.